GUGCUCGCUUCGAUGGCACAUAUAGUAAAAUUGGAACGAUAUAGAGAAGAUUAGCAUGGCCCCUGCGCAAAAAUGACACGCAAAUUCGUGAAGCGUUCCACAUUUAA
Myotis daubentonii (Daubenton's bat) is the source of this 107-nucleotide small nuclear RNA. The record is from RefSeq and is a predicted model, not a curated record. NCBI's taxonomy places the organism in Eukaryota, Metazoa, Chordata, Mammalia, Chiroptera, Vespertilionidae.